This 545-nucleotide ribosomal RNA is filed under the name uncultured bacterium. RNAcentral describes it as "bacterial SSU rRNA". It matches the Rfam family "Bacterial small subunit ribosomal RNA", at positions 777 to 1319 of the family's 1533-position model. The record is from RNAcentral.
AAUAGAUACCCCGGUAGUCCACGCCGUAAACGAUGAGUGCUAAGUGUUAGGGGGUUUCCGCCCCUUAGUGCUGCAGCUAACGCAUUAAGCACUCCGCCUGGGGAGUACGACCGCAAGGUUGAAACUCAAAGGAAUUGACGGGGGCCCGCACAAGCGGUGGAGCAUGUGGUUUAAUUCGAAGCAACGCGAAGAACCUUACCAGGUCUUGACAUCCCAAUGACCGCUCUAGAGAUAGAGUUUUCCCUUCGGGGACAUUGGUGACAGGUGGUGCAUGGUUGUCGUCAGCUCGUGUCGUGAGAUGUUGGGUUAAGUCCCGCAACGAGCGCAACCCUUAUUCUUAGUUACCAUCAUUUAGUUGGGCACUCUAAGGAGACUGCCGGUGACAAACCGGAGGAAGGUGGGGAUGACGUCAAAUCAUCAUGCCCCUUAUGACCUGGGCUACACACGUGCUACAAUGGACGGUACAAAGAGCUGCGAACCCGCGAGGGUAAGCCAAUCUCAUAAAACCCGUUCUCAGUUCGGAUUGUAGUCUGCAACUCGACUAC